AGUGAACGCUGGCGGUAGGCCUAACACAUGCAAGUCGAACGGCAGCACAGUAAGAGCUUGCUCUUACGGGUGGCGAGUGGCGGACGGGUGAGGAAUACAUCGGAAUCUACUUUUUCGUGGGGGAUAACGUAGGGAAACUUACGCUAAUACCGCAUACGACCUACGGGUGAAAGCAGGGGAUCUUCGGACCUUGCGCGAUUGAAUGAGCCGAUGUCGGAUUAGCUAGUUGGCGGGGUAAAGGCCCACCAAGGCGACGAUCCGUAGCUGGUCUGAGAGGAUGAUCAGCCACACUGGAACUGAGACACGCUCCAGACUCCUACGGGAGGCAGCAGUGGGGAAUAUUGGGCAAUGGGGGCGAACCUGAUCCAGCCAUACCGCGUGGGUGAAGAAGGCCUUCGGGUUGUAAAGCCCUUUUGUUGGGAAAGAAAAGCAGCAGGUUAAUACCCCGCUGUUCUGACGGUACCCAAAGAAUAAGCACCGGCUAACUUCGUG
This 492-nucleotide ribosomal RNA is filed under the name uncultured bacterium. Its description in RNAcentral is "partial 16S ribosomal RNA". It matches the Rfam family "Bacterial small subunit ribosomal RNA", at positions 29 to 507 of the family's 1533-position model. The record is from RNAcentral.